RNAcentral lists this ribosomal RNA (588 nucleotides) under uncultured bacterium. RNAcentral's name for it is "partial 16S ribosomal RNA". It matches the Rfam family "Bacterial small subunit ribosomal RNA", at positions 355 to 1375 of the family's 1533-position model. The record is from RNAcentral.
UGGGGAAUUUUGGACAAUGGGCGAAAGCCUGAUCCAGCAAUGCCGCGUGUGUGAAGAAGGCCUUCGGGUUGUAAAGCACUUUUGUCCGGAAAGAAAUCCUUGGCUCUAAUACAGUCGGGGGAUGACGGUACCGGAAGAAUAAGCACCGGCUAACUACGUGCCAGCAGCCGCGGUAAUACGUAGGGUGCAAGCGUUAAUCGGAAUUACUGGGCGUAAAGCGUGCGCAGGCGGUUUGCUAAGACCGAUGUGAAAUCCCCGGGCUCAACCUGGGAACUGCAUUGGUGACUGGCAGGCUAGAGUAUGGCAGAGGGGGGUAGAAUUCCACGUGUAGCAGUGAAAUGCGUAGAGAUGUGGAGGAAUACCGAUGGCGAAGGCAGCCCCCCUGGGCCAAUACUGACGCUCAUGCACGAAAAGCGUGGGGAGCAAAACAGGAUUAGAUACCCUGGUAGUCCACGCCCUAAACGAUGUCAACUAGUUGUUGGGGAUUCAUUUCCUUAGUAACGUAGCUAACGCGUGAAGUUGACCGCCUGGGGAGUACGGUCGCAAGAUUAAAACUCAAAUGAAUUGACGGGGUCAUAGCUGUUUCCU